Molecule: small RNA, 884 nt
Filed under: Pan troglodytes (chimpanzee)
Lineage: Eukaryota; Metazoa; Chordata; Mammalia; Primates; Hominidae
Description: retained intron
Source: RNAcentral
UUUCUCCCCAAGUAAUAGUAAAUAGUUUGAAGCUAUUUUAAGUUUCUAAAGUCAUACAUGUGACUUUAAUAAGCACAAAAACUAAGUCUUCGUUUCUCACGUGUGGACUUCCCUGUAGACCAUCUCCCCGGUUGUUGUGCACAGCCACGAAACAAAAGAACAGUGGCCAGAACCUGGAAGAGGACAUGGGUCAGAGUGAACAGAAGGCAGAUCCUCCUGCUACAGAGAAGACCCUCCUGGAAGAGAAGGUCAAGUUGGAGGAGCAGCUGAAGGAGACUGUGGAAAAAUAUAAACGAGCUUUGGCAGACACUGAGAACUUACGGCAGAGGAGCCAGAAAUUGGUGGAGGAGGCAAAAUUAUACGGCAUUCAAGCCUUCUGCAAGGACUUGUUGGAGGUGGCAGACGUUCUGGAGAAGGCAACACAGUGUGUUCCAAAAGAAGAAAUUAAAGACGAUAACCCUCACCUGAAGAACCUCUAUGAGGGGCUGGUCAUGACUGAAGUCCAGAUCCAGAAGGUGUUCACAAAGCAUGGCUUGCUCAAGUUGAACCCUGUCGGAGCCAAGUUCGACCCUUAUGAACAUGAGGCCUUGUUCCACACACCGGUUGAGGGGAAGGAGCCAGGCACAGUGGCCCUAGUUAGCAAAGUGGGGUACAAGCUGCAUGGGCGCACUCUGAGACCCGCCCUGGUGGGGGUGGUGAAGGAAGCUUAGCUGCUGUUGAUGGGGUGGGUGUUUUUAAACUCACUUGAUGUAACUCUUAAGGCUGGUUCAUUGUUUCUCAUCUAUGAGUACGUGUGACCUUUUCCCAAACCUUAUUGGAAACCUUAAGUAACCAGUGGCGAAACAGAAAAGCCGGUUGCCCAACUGCGUUAAUGAACUCUAAUU